GUAAACGGCGGCCGUAACUAUAACGGUCCUAAGGUAGCGAAAUUCCUUGUCGGGUAAGUUCCGACCCGCACGAAUGGCGUAACGAUGGCCACACUGUCUCCUCCCGAGACUCAGCGAAGUUGAAGUGGUUGUGAAGAUGCAAUCUACCCGCUGCUAGACGGAAAGACCCCGUGAACCUUUACUGUAGCUUUGCAUUGGACUUUGAAGUCACUUGUGUAGGAUAGGUGGGAGGCUUUGAAGCAGAGACGCCAGUCUCUGUGGAGCCGUCCUUGAAAUACCACCCUGGUGUCUUUGAGGUUCUAACCCAGACCCGUAAUCCGGGUCGGGGACCGUGCAUGGUAGGCAGUUUGACUGGGGCGGUCUCCUCCCAAAGAGUAACGGAGGAGUUCGAAGGUUACCUAGGUCCGGUCGGAAAUCGGACUGAUAGUGCAAUGGCAAAAGGUAGCUUAACUGCGAGACCGACAAGUCGAGCAGGUGCGAAAGCAGGACAUAGUGAUCCGGUGGUUCUGUAUGGAAGGGCCAUCGCUCAACGGAUAAAAGGUACUCCGGGGAUAACAGGCUGAUUCCGCCCAAGAGUUCAUAUCGACGGCGGAGUUUGGCACCUCGAUGUCGGCUCAUCACAUCCUGGGGCUGUAGUCGGUCCCAAGGGUAUGGCUGUUCGCCAUUUAAAGUGGUACGUGAGCUGGGUUUAAAACGUCGUGAGACAGUUUGGUCCCUAUCUGCAGUGGGCGUUGGAAGUUUGACGGGGGCUGCUCCUAGUACGAGAGGACCGGAGUGGACGAACCUCUGGUGUACCGGUUGUAACGCCAGUUGCAUAGCCGGGUAGCUAAGUUCGGAAGAGAUAAGCGCUGAAAGCAUCUAAGCGCGAAACUCGCCUGAAGAUGAGACUUCCCUUGUGGUUUAACCACACUAAAGAGUCGUUCGAGACCAGGACGUUGAUAGGUGGGGUGUGGAAGCGCGGUAACGCGUGAAGCUAACCCAUACUAAUUGCUCGUGAGGCUUGACUCU
This 1008-nucleotide ribosomal RNA is filed under the name human oral metagenome. RNAcentral describes it as "bacterial LSU rRNA". It matches the Rfam family "Bacterial large subunit ribosomal RNA", at positions 1923 to 2925 of the family's 2925-position model. The record is from RNAcentral.